GAACGGUAGUGUUUAUGCCCGGCAGGAAUCAGCGUUUUCGAGGGGUUCUCCAAGAGGGUACUGGAUCAAGACAACCUAGGGGACAGGAAUGGAGCUCUUAGAGAGAGAAUACGUCAUGGGACGCUGGCCGAAAGUACUCAUACCAGCCAGGAUAAAACCCGUGUCACCGGCAGAGUCCAUCAGACAGAGGAGCAUCCACCGAGCCCACAGCCUCCUGAGCAGUGGCCUUCCCGAUCCUCAUCCUGCUGUAAAGAUCAUCUGACCAGCCUCUGCCAACAUGCUCCGCCUCCUGGUCCUCCUGUUUGCAGUCAUGGCGCUGCCAGGUGCUGCUGGACAAUUAUUUUCCAAUUCUGAGUUAAACAUCAGCUCGUGUCCCAUCACGUAUUUUGGACAGAAGUACGAAACACUCUAUGUGAACUUUACGAGUGAAAACUUAGUGAGCUGUUUCGACGGAUUCUACGACCCUCAGACCAAAGGCAACUGUUUGGUGGGACCAAAAGUGGAGGAGGCACGGUUU
Molecule: long non-coding RNA, 517 nt
Organism: Cyprinodon variegatus (sheepshead minnow)
Lineage: Eukaryota; Metazoa; Chordata; Actinopteri; Cyprinodontiformes; Cyprinodontidae
Exons: 5
Source: RefSeq, a predicted model, not a curated record